UCCGCUCUAUAAAAGGACUUUUUUUUUUUUAAGAGGGAGGGGGGAUUGUGGUGUUGGGUAAGGAUGGCCUUGGGAAAUUGUCAUCAUGUAGUUUAAAAUAGAUUUUUUUUUUUUUUUUUUUUNNNNNNNNNUCACUUACAAGAGGAAAUACAUCAUCCAGUUCAAUUUACAACUUACAAGAGGAAAUUCUUCAUCCAAUUCAAUUGAAAAAGGGUAUGAAAUUAGCAUCGGUAAGUUUGAUUUGCCAGCCAA
RNAcentral lists this unclassified non-coding RNA (252 nucleotides) under Hevea brasiliensis (rubber tree). The record is from RNAcentral. Lineage: Eukaryota; Viridiplantae; Streptophyta; Magnoliopsida; Malpighiales; Euphorbiaceae.